RNAcentral lists this ribosomal RNA (643 nucleotides) under uncultured Actinomycetes bacterium. Its description in RNAcentral is "bacterial SSU rRNA". It matches the Rfam family "Bacterial small subunit ribosomal RNA", at positions 232 to 885 of the family's 1533-position model. The record is from RNAcentral. Lineage: Bacteria; Bacillati; Actinomycetota; Actinomycetes.
CGCGGCCUAUCAGCUUGUUGGUGGGGUAAUGGCCUACCAAGGCGACGACGGGUAGCCGGCCUGAGAGGGUGACCGGCCACACUGGGACUGAGACACGGCCCAGACUCCUACGGGAGGCAGCAGUGGGGAAUAUUGCACAAUGGGCGCAAGCCUGAUGCAGCGACGCCGCGUGAGGGAUGACGGCCUUCGGGUUGUAAACCUCUUUCAGUAGGGAAGAAGCGUAAGUGACGGUACCUGCAGAAGAAGCGCCGGCUAACUACGUGCCAGCAGCCGCGGUAAUACGUAGGGCGCAAGCGUUAUCCGGAAUUAUUGGGCGUAAAGAGCUCGUAGGCGGUUUGUCGCGUCUGCUGUGAAAGACCGGGGCUCAACUCCGGUUCUGCAGUGGGUACGGGCAGACUGGAGUGCAGUAGGGGAGACUGGAAUUCCUGGUGUAGCGGUGAAAUGCGCAGAUAUCAGGAGGAACACCGAUGGCGAAGGCAGGUCUCUGGGCUGUAACUGACGCUGAGGAGCGAAAGCAUGGGGAGCGAACAGGAUUAGAUACCCUGGUAGUCCAUGCCGUAAACGUUGGGCACUAGGUGUGGGGGACAUUCCACGUUUUCCGCGCCGUAGCUAACGCAUUAAGUGCCCCGCCUGGGGAGUACGG